Molecule: ribosomal RNA, 794 nt
Filed under: uncultured Pelagibacteraceae bacterium
Lineage: Bacteria; Pseudomonadati; Pseudomonadota; Alphaproteobacteria; Candidatus Pelagibacterales; Candidatus Pelagibacteraceae
Description: bacterial SSU rRNA
Rfam family: Bacterial small subunit ribosomal RNA
Source: RNAcentral
CGCCUAACACAUGCAAGUCGAACGAAGUAGCAAUACUUAGUGGCAGACGGGUGAGUAACAUGUAGGUAUCUACCCUUUGGCCUGGAAUAACACGAGGAAACUUGUGCUAAUACUGGAUAAGUCUUUACGGAGAAAGCUUUAUGCACCAUUGGAUGAGCCUGCACUUGAUUAGUUUGUUGGUGGGGUAAUGGCCUACCAAGACUUUGAUCAAUAGCUGAUUUGAGAGGAUGAUCAGCCACAUUGGGACUGAGACACGGCCCAAACUCCUACGGGAGGCAGCAGUGGGGAAUCUUGCACAAUGGAGGAAACUCUGAUGCAGCGAUGCCGCGUGAGUGAAGAAGGCCUUUGGGUUGUAAAGCUCUUUCGUCGGGGAAGAAAAUGACUGUACCCGAAUAAGAAGGUCCGGCUAACUUCGUGCCAGCAGCCGCGGUAAUACGAAGGGACCUAGCGUAGUUCGGAAUUACUGGGCUUAAAGAGUUCGUAGGUGGUUGAAAAAGUUGGUGGUGAAAUCCCAGAGCUUAACUCUGGAACUGCCAUCAAAACUUUUCAGCUAGAGUAUGAUAGAGGAAAGCAGAAUUUCUAGUGUAGAGGUGAAAUUCGUAGAUAUUAGAAAGAAUACCAAUUGCGAAGGCAGCUUUCUGGAUCAUUACUGACGCUGAGGAACGAAAGCAUGGGUAGCGAAGAGGAUUAGAUACCCUCGUAGUCCAUGCCGUAAACGAUGUGUGUUAGACGUUGGAAAUUUAUUUUCAGUGUCGCAGUGAAAGCGAUAAACACACCGCCUGGGGAGUACGACC